This 74-nucleotide transfer RNA is filed under the name Dipodomys ordii (Ord's kangaroo rat). It matches the Rfam family "tRNA". From Rfam's summary of the family: Transfer RNA (tRNA) molecules are approximately 80 nucleotides in length. Their secondary structure includes four short double-helical elements and three loops (D, anti-codon, and T loops). Lineage: Eukaryota; Metazoa; Chordata; Mammalia; Rodentia; Heteromyidae. The record is from Rfam by way of RNAcentral.
GGAAAUGUGGCUUAGUGGUAGAGUGCUUGCCUAGCUAGCAUGCGUGAAGUCCUGGGUUCAAUUCCCCAGUACCA